This 2115-nucleotide long non-coding RNA is filed under the name Lynx pardinus (Iberian lynx). Lineage: Eukaryota; Metazoa; Chordata; Mammalia; Carnivora; Felidae. The record is from RNAcentral.
GAAAAGCCAGGCGAGUGAUUUUGAGUGGCUUUCCCUGACUCUUGUUACAGGGGGUGACCUGUGGCACCAGCAAGCCUCGGUGGGUUGACGAGUCUGUGCCGAGUGACGAGUUACUCAAGACUUCAGCUCCGUCGACAACCUGGGUGGAACAUCUACGGGCAAAAACGUUCUCCAAGUGGAGGAAACGGGUUCCGUACAACCUGAGGUUGACUCAAGAUGCGUCGCAAUCGACGGUGGAAAAAAAUACGUGUGGAAUAGAAAAGGCUUCCAAAGCUUGUGAUGAUACCAGAUUUUAGAGCCUCUGGCUAUUUACUGUAUCGCUUAAAUCAGCAGGUGUUUUGCGGAGAACAUUCGAGUCCAGCGUUCUCGAACCCAGUAUUGUCAACAGUGAGCUGCGUUCGCUCUUGUCGACUGAACCAUCCCCGGGUCCGUGGAGUUUUAUCAGCAGGAGGAGCGUGAUAUCCGGACAUGGGCUGCCCCACGACAGUUCGCUGGUGUAGUAGUUUUUUUUCAGGUGAGGUUUUAUUUCAGUCUUUGAGCUGAGGACCGACAAGAUUGAACUUUCUCUGAAUGAGAAGCACGGCCCUCAACCACCGCUCCCCAACCCCGAAGAGCUUUGGAAAUUAGCUUUGGCUGCAGACCUGACCCUCUUCACUGAUUCCGUCUAAAAUCACAAAGCAAAGCAGUGUUUUCUACGCGGGAUUCAGACCAGGUAGAGUCCUCUCCACAGGAGCUAAUGUCAGAAUAACGUCACCCUGCUUCACUACACUUGCCGUGUUGUCAGGAGCUAACACCAAAAGCGAGGGCUCCGUUCCACACGCGUUUGCAGCGGGUACAGGACCUCCCACCGCGGUUCGAGCAGGUGCUCUCGUAGACGUGAAUGCGAACCCACAAGAAAUUCCCACGUUGCAAAAUCCACCCGGCUUCCAUUGCGGAACUCCUGCCUGACCCUUCAGUGGAAGCGAUUAAUCUGCCCAAAGGUAAAUAAGCCUCGAGAGAAAAAUCUAGCAGAAUUCCACAAGUGCCUUUCAGGUGGUCAGUGUGCUUGGCUAAAAAUCCCGUGCUUAAGGCCUGGUACGGAUGUCGUGAGGCGCCCAUCCACGUGAAGACUGUCUCCGCGACAGUCUUAUUACAGGUCAGCACUAACGGGUACACACGGGCAGCCGAUUUUGACGAGAGGCAACUCUAGCUUUGCGCCUGAAUUCAGUGAAAUGUUAAGCCCCCGCUAAAAAGAAUGAAAAUUGCACUCAUUAGUGGACCUCAAGAAAUGUGCUCAAUAAUUAUAUUUGAGUUUCGCCAGUUAAUUUUUUUUCUUUUGUGACGUAAAUCUACAGUAUCCUAGAUUGUUGGCUUUUGACCCAGAAAACCUCAAAAUAUUUUACAUCUGGCCUCUUCAGGAAAAAUUCUGCCUCCCCCUUCAGUCGAUGGAGCAAAAGCGUUGAGGGGUGGGCGGGGGUUCGGCCUCCCCUGUCAGUGCGGCAGAAGGGCAAGUCUGGGGCAGGGAUCCACGACCCUCUGGCCCUGCUCCCGGGGACUUGCCUCUGCUCCUCAGAGAGUCUCUGAGCCGGGAGGAGGAUGCCACCUCUGUGCCUCCGUCUGUUGGUACAGGAGCAAGUUCUGACGCGGGAACCACCUACAGGACAGCCGCGUGUCCCGCAGCGACGAAGGCCAGCCCGACGACCAGCCUGCGGCUCCCAGUUUGUGUGCUGGCACCGUCUGCCCUCAGCUCGCGUUGCCGUCGGUUUGCCUGCACAAGGGCAGUGGAGGCGUUUAUUUUUUCCUCCCGAUACCAACCGAUUCUCUGACCCCCUGCACACACCGGCCGGGUGUCCCGAGAAUUCAGUUCUGACGCUGUCUACCUGGAGUCAGCGCGGGAGCCCACCGGGCAGGGGGCUCGGCCCCACAGGACAGCCCCCACUUCAGACGCCAGUCGCGAGUCCCAAGCCAGCUUCCGAGCGACUAGCUGUGAAGCGGUGCCCGCGAUCUCCUCUGGUUCAGUGAUUUGCUAGAACAGUGCACAGCACUCAAGAGGGCGCGUUAUUUAUGUUUAUUGGCUAUUAUGCAGGGCACGAACGAAUAGCCAGAUGAAGAACGUGGGAUCCAGAGGGGUCACGA